UACAGAGGUCUCAAGCGUUGUUCGGAUUCAUUGGGCGUAAAGGGUGUGUAGGUGGCGCCGUAAGUCGGGUGUGAAAUCUCGGGGCUUAACUCCGAAACUGCAUUCGAUACUGCGGUGCUUGAGGACUGGAGAGGAGACUGGAAUUCCUGGUGUAGCGGUGGAAUGCGCAGAUAUCAGGAGGAACACCGGUGGCGAAGGCGGGUCUCUGGGCAGUAACUGACGCUGAGGAGCGAAAGCGUGGGGAGCGAACAGG
This 253-nucleotide ribosomal RNA is filed under the name uncultured bacterium. Its description in RNAcentral is "partial 16S ribosomal RNA". It matches the Rfam family "Bacterial small subunit ribosomal RNA", at positions 524 to 776 of the family's 1533-position model. The record is from RNAcentral.